UAGGAUUUAUGCCAACACUUCCUGAUCCAAAGGAUGAGAUGGUGCCAUCUGUCCUUCUAGAAGAUAUACAUCUUCUUGUCUUCAUUUCACUUGAAUCAGAUUCUACCGCCUCUCUAUUCAUCUUGAAUAUCCCUUGUUCUUCAUCAACAAUGUUAUUGCUAAAUCCAACACAAAUUCACUUUUAUAUAUAUAUAUAUAUUAGAUGGCGAUGCCCGUGCGUGCACGGGUCCCAAUAUAUGUUUGACAAUAAUUUUUAUAAUAGGUUGGUAGUAUAUAUAAGUACAUAAUGUUUUUGCACUGCCUAUGCGUGAUUGCACUAAGUUUUAUACAUAUUUACAUCUUUGUACGGAAAAGGUGGAAUUGAUAGUGGCGGCAAGUCAUGUUCUGCAGUCAGAAAGAGGAGUGUUUUAGAUUGCGGAGGUAUAACUCAGUAAGAAUGGAGUUAGUAUGGCUGAUUGCAACGUACCUUGUUGAAACUAUUGAUGUCUUGCCCCUUUUUGCAAAUUUUCAUGGCUGGCAGUGCAUAUACAAAAGCAUAGUCUUUGUUGCAAAAACAAUCUGCAAAAUCAUG
This 571-nucleotide long non-coding RNA is filed under the name Solanum tuberosum (potato). RNAcentral's name for it is "long non-coding RNA (STUB_LNC008440)". The record is from RNAcentral. Lineage: Eukaryota; Viridiplantae; Streptophyta; Magnoliopsida; Solanales; Solanaceae.